GACGAACGCUGGCGGCGUGCCUAAUACAUGCAAGUCGAACGAGAGCGCCCGGUGCUUGCACUGGUCAAUCUAGUGGCGAACGGGUGAGUAACACGUGGGUAACCUGCCCAUCAGAGGGGGAUAACAUCCGGAAACGGAUGCUAAAACCGCAUAGGUCUUCGAGCCGCAUGGCUUGAAGAGGAAAAGAGGCGCACGCUUCUGCUGAUGGAUGGACCCGCGGUGCAUUAGCUAGUUGGUGAGGUAACGGCUCACCAAGGCCGUGAUGCAUAGCCGACCUGAGAGGGUGAUCGGCCACAUUGGGACUGAGACACGGCCCAAACUCCUACGGGAGGCAGCAGUAGGGAAUCUUCCGCAAUGGACGCAAGUCUGACGGAGCAACGCCGCGUGAGUGAAGAAGGUUUUCGGAUCGUAAAACUCUGUUGUUAGAGAAGAACAAGUGCUAGAGUAACUGUUAGCGCCUUGACGGUAUCUAACCAGAAAGCCACGGCUAACUACGUG
Molecule: ribosomal RNA, 498 nt
Filed under: uncultured bacterium
Lineage: Bacteria
Description: partial 16S ribosomal RNA
Rfam family: Bacterial small subunit ribosomal RNA
Source: RNAcentral